This 90-nucleotide non-coding RNA is filed under the name Bacillus subtilis. Lineage: Bacteria; Bacillati; Bacillota; Bacilli; Caryophanales; Bacillaceae. The record is from RNAcentral.
GAUCGUGGUUUGAUCAAUGCUGUUAAGAUAAAUAAAACGUUUGAUAAUUUAGUGAGGAAUGAAACGAUUCGAUGGAAGCAUUAUCAGCGG